RNAcentral lists this microRNA precursor (117 nucleotides) under Nicotiana tabacum (common tobacco). RNAcentral's name for it is "miR399f stem-loop (nta-MIR399f)". Its record names the gene nta-MIR399f. Lineage: Eukaryota; Viridiplantae; Streptophyta; Magnoliopsida; Solanales; Solanaceae. The record is from miRBase by way of RNAcentral.
AAUAGUGGUAGGGCUACUCUCUAUUGGCAUGCAGUUAAUUAUGUAUACUGACUCUUAAUCAUCGCACAUAUAUAUUUCAGCUGACACGCCAAAGGAGAGCUGCCCUGUUACUGUCUC